This 451-nucleotide ribosomal RNA is filed under the name Escherichia coli. Its description in RNAcentral is "bacterial SSU rRNA". It matches the Rfam family "Bacterial small subunit ribosomal RNA", at positions 1 to 448 of the family's 1533-position model. The record is from RNAcentral. Lineage: Bacteria; Pseudomonadati; Pseudomonadota; Gammaproteobacteria; Enterobacterales; Enterobacteriaceae.
AAAUUGAAGAGUUUGAUCAUGGCUCAGAUUGAACGCUGGCGGCAGGCCUAACACAUGCAAGUCGAACGGUAACAGGAAGCAGCUUGCUGCUUUGCUGACGAGUGGCGGACGGGUGAGUAAUGUCUGGGAAACUGCCUGAUGGAGGGGGAUAACUACUGGAAACGGUAGCUAAUACCGCAUAAUGUCGCAAGACCAAAGAGGGGGACCUUCGGGCCUCUUGCCAUCGGAUGUGCCCAGAUGGGAUUAGCUAGUAGGUGGGGUAAAGGCUCACCUAGGCGACGAUCCCUAGCUGGUCUGAGAGGAUGACCAGCCACACUGGAACUGAGACACGGUCCAGACUCCUACGGGAGGCAGCAGUGGGGAAUAUUGCACAAUGGGCGCAAGCCUGAUGCAGCCAUGCCGCGUGUAUGAAGAAGGCCUUCGGGUUGUAAAGUACUUUCAGCGGGGAGGG